CGCACCUUGCGCUCCUUGGUAUUCCGAGGAGCAUGCCUGUUUGAGUGUCGUGAAAUCAUCAACCUAUAAGCCUUUGUGGUUUACGGGCUUGGACUUGGAGGCUUGCUGGCCCUAGUGGUUCGGCUCCUCUCAAAUGCAUUAGCUUGAUUCCUUGCGGAUCGGCUCUCGGUGUGAUAAUUGUCUACGCCGUGACCGUGAAGCGUUUGGCAGGCUUCUAACCGUCUCUUCUGAGACAGCUUAUGACCUCUGACCUCAAAUCAGGUAGGACUACCCGCUGAACUUAA
Molecule: unclassified non-coding RNA, 284 nt
Filed under: Polyporaceae sp.
Lineage: Eukaryota; Fungi; Basidiomycota; Agaricomycetes; Polyporales; Polyporaceae
Description: partial contains 5.8S ribosomal RNA, internal transcribed spacer 2, and large subunit ribosomal RNA
Source: RNAcentral